GGGCCUUUAGCUCAGUGGUUAGAGCAGUCGACUCAUAAUCGAUUGGUCGCAGGUUCGAGCCCUGCUGGGCCCACCA
RNAcentral lists this transfer RNA (76 nucleotides) under Halieaceae bacterium. Its description in RNAcentral is "tRNA-Met". It matches the Rfam family "tRNA". Rfam says of the family: Transfer RNA (tRNA) molecules are approximately 80 nucleotides in length. Their secondary structure includes four short double-helical elements and three loops (D, anti-codon, and T loops). The record is from RNAcentral. Lineage: Bacteria; Pseudomonadati; Pseudomonadota; Gammaproteobacteria; Cellvibrionales; Halieaceae.